This 449-nucleotide ribosomal RNA is filed under the name uncultured bacterium. RNAcentral describes it as "partial 16S ribosomal RNA". It matches the Rfam family "Bacterial small subunit ribosomal RNA", at positions 329 to 797 of the family's 1533-position model. The record is from RNAcentral.
UACCAGACUCCUACGGGAGGCAGCAGUGGGGGAUAUUGCACAAUGGGGGGAACCCUGAUGCAGCGACGCCGCGUGGGUGAAGAAGCGCCUCGGCGCGUAAAGCCCUGUCAGCAGGGAAGAAAAUGACGGUACCUGAAGAAGAAGCCCCGGCUAACUACGUGCCAGCAGCCGCGGUAAUACGUAGGGGGCAAGCGUUAUCCGGAUUUACUGGGUGUAAAGGGGGCGCAGACGGCGAUGCAAGCCAGGAGUGAAAGCCCGGGGCCCAACCCCGGGACUGCAUUUGGAACUGUGUAGCUGGAGUGUCGGAGAGGCAGGCGGAAUUCCUAGUGUAGCGGUGAAAUGCGUAGAUAUUAGGAGGAACACCAGUGGCGAAGGCGGCCUGCUGGACGAUGACUGACGUUGAGGCUCGAAAGCGUGGGGAGCAAACAGGAUUAGAUACCCCAGUACAA